RNAcentral lists this ribosomal RNA (427 nucleotides) under uncultured Bacillus sp. RNAcentral's name for it is "bacterial SSU rRNA". It matches the Rfam family "Bacterial small subunit ribosomal RNA", at positions 355 to 774 of the family's 1533-position model. Lineage: Bacteria; Bacillati; Bacillota; Bacilli; Caryophanales; Bacillaceae. The record is from RNAcentral.
UAGGGAAUCUUCCGCAAUGGACGAAAGUCUGACGGAGCAACGCCGCGUGAGCGAAGAAGGCCUUCGGGUCGUAAAGCUCUGUUGUCAGGGAAGAACAAGUACCGGAGUAACUGCCGGUACCUUGACGGUACCUGACGAGAAAGCCACGGCUAACUACGUGCCAGCAGCCGCGGUAAUACGUAGGUGGCAAGCGUUGUCCGGAAUUAUUGGGCGUAAAGCGCGCGCAGGCGGUCCUUUAAGUCUGAUGUGAAAGCCCACGGCUCAACCGUGGAGGGUCAUUGGAAACUGGGGGACUUGAGUGCAGAAGAGGAAAGCGGAAUUCCACGUGUAGCGGUGAAAUGCGUAGAGAUGUGGAGGAACACCAGUGGCGAAGGCGGCUUUCUGGUCUGUAACUGACGCUGAGGCGCGAAAGCGUGGGGAGCAAACA